UACGUAGGGUGCAAGCGUUGUCCGGAAUUAUUGGGCGUAAAGAGCUCGUAGGCGGUCUGUCGCGUCUGCUGUGAAAACUCGGGGCUUAACCCCGGGCCUGCAGUGGGUACGGGCAGACUAGAGUGCGGUAGGGGAGAUUGGAAUUCCUGGUGUAUCGGUGAAAUGCGCAGAUAUCAGGAGGAACACCGGUGGCGAAGGCGGGUCUCUGGGCCGUAACUGACGCUGAGGAGCGAAAGCAUGGGGAGCGAACAGG
This 253-nucleotide ribosomal RNA is filed under the name uncultured bacterium. RNAcentral's name for it is "partial 16S ribosomal RNA". It matches the Rfam family "Bacterial small subunit ribosomal RNA", at positions 524 to 776 of the family's 1533-position model. The record is from RNAcentral.